CCCUCACCUCCCCUCGCCUCCCCUCACCUCCCCUCACCUCCCCUCACCUCCCCUCACCCCCCCUCACCUCACCUCACCUCACCUCACCUCACCUCACCUCACCUCACCUCACCUCACCUCACCUCACCUCACCUCACCUCACCUCACCUCACCUCACCUCACCUCACCUCACCUCACCUCACCUCACCUCACCUCACCUCACCUCACCUCACCUCACCUCACCUCACCUCACCUCACCUCACCUCACCUCACCUCACCUCACCUCACCUCACCUCACCUCACCUCACCUCACCUCACCCCCCCUCACC
RNAcentral lists this long non-coding RNA (308 nucleotides) under Volvox carteri. Its description in RNAcentral is "long non-coding RNA (VCAR_LNC002444)". The record is from RNAcentral. Lineage: Eukaryota; Viridiplantae; Chlorophyta; Chlorophyceae; Chlamydomonadales; Volvocaceae.